GGGGCCGUAGCUCAGCUGGGAGAGCGCAUGACUGGCAGUCAUGAGGUCAGGGGUUCGAUCCCCCUCGGCUCCACCA
This 76-nucleotide transfer RNA is filed under the name bacterium. RNAcentral's name for it is "tRNA-Ala". It matches the Rfam family "tRNA". From Rfam's summary of the family: Transfer RNA (tRNA) molecules are approximately 80 nucleotides in length. Their secondary structure includes four short double-helical elements and three loops (D, anti-codon, and T loops). Further hydrogen bonds mediate the characteristic L-shaped molecular structure. tRNAs have two regions of fundamental functional importance: the anti-codon, which is responsible for specific mRNA codon recognition, and the 3' end, to which the tRNAs corresponding amino acid is attached (by aminoacyl-tRNA synthetases). tRNAs cope with the degeneracy of the genetic code in two manners: having more than one tRNA (with a specific anti-codon) for a particular amino acid; and 'wobble' base-pairing, i.e. permitting non-standard base-pairing at the 3rd anti-codon position. The record is from RNAcentral. RNAcentral also lists the same sequence under 11 other names.